AGAGUUUGAUCCUGGCUCAGAAUGAACGCUGGCGGCGUGCUUAACACAUGCAAGUCGAACGAUGAAGCCUAGCUUGCUAGGUGGAUUAGUGGCGCACGGGUGAGUAAUAUAUAGAUAAUGUGCCCCUUAGUCUGGGGUAGCCAUUGGAAACGAUGAUUAAUACUAGAUACUCCUUCUCAUCAUAAGUUGAGUCGGGAAAGUUUUUUCGCUAAGGGAUCAGUCUAUAUCGCAUCAGUUAGUUGGUGGGGUAACGGCCUACCAAGACAAUGACGCGUAGCGGGUUUGAGAGGAUGAUCCGCCACACUGGUACUGAGACACGGACCAGACUCCUACGGGAGGCAGCAGUGAGGAAUAUUGCACAAUGGGGGAAACCCUGAUGCAGCAACGCCGCGUGGAGGAUGACGCAUUUCGGUGUGUAAACUCCUUUUAUAUGUCAAGAAAAUGACGGUAGCAUAUGAAUAAGCACCGGCUAACUCCGUGCCAGCAGCCGCGGUAAUACGGAGGGUGCAAGCGUUAUUCGGAAUCACUGGGCGUAAAGGACGCGUAGGCGGGAUAGUAAGUCUGAUGUGAAAUCCUAUGGCUUAACCAUAGAACUGCAUUGGAAGCUACUAACCUAGAGUAUGGGAGGGGGAGAUGGAAUUAGUGGUGUAGGGGUAAAAUCCGUAGAUAUCACUAGGAAUACCGAAAGCGAAGGCGAUCUCCUGGAACAAUACUGACGCUAAGGCGUGAAAGCGUGGGGAGCAAACGGGAUUAGAUACCCCGGUAGUCUACGCCCUAAACGAUGAACACUAGUCGUCGGAAUGCUAGUCAUUUCGGUGAUGCACUUAACAGAUUAAGUGUUCCGCCUGGGGAGUACGGUCGCAAGAUUAAAACUCAAAGGAAUAGACGG
Molecule: ribosomal RNA, 889 nt
Filed under: uncultured Campylobacterota bacterium
Lineage: Bacteria; Pseudomonadati; Campylobacterota
Description: bacterial SSU rRNA
Rfam family: Bacterial small subunit ribosomal RNA
Source: RNAcentral